This 591-nucleotide small RNA is filed under the name Pongo abelii (Sumatran orangutan). RNAcentral's name for it is "retained intron". Lineage: Eukaryota; Metazoa; Chordata; Mammalia; Primates; Hominidae. The record is from RNAcentral.
UCACUGCGUUUUGAGUCUCGAGACCCCUGUCGGAGAGACUAUGGCGCUCAACAAGAAUCACUCGGAGGGCGGCGGAGUGAUCGUCAAUAACACCGAGAGCAUCCUAAUGUCCUAUGAUCAUGUGGAACUCACAUUCAAUGACAUGAAGAACGUGCCAGAAGCCUUCAAAGGGACCAAGAAAGGCACCGUCUACCUUACCCCUUACCGGGUCAUCUUUCUGUCCAAGGGCAAGGAUGCCAUGCAGUCCUUCAUGAUGCCAUUUUAUCUCAUGAAAGACUGUGAGAUCAAGCAGCCCGUAUUUGGUGCAAACUACAUCAAGGGAACAGUGAAGGCGGAAGCGGGAGGUAGGUGAUGGGAACUCAGGGUCACGGAUGGGGCCUCCAGGGAGGUGCCCUGGGAACCUCUGACUGCUGCCGUGGGGGCAUCCCCUUCAGACUCUUAUCGCCCUAGCCAUGACCUCUUCCCAGCUCUGGGCUGCCAGCUGGUGGGGUUUGAUUGCCAAGAGCUGGGGAAAAUGCUGGCAUGAAAGACGGCAGCUCAGAUCAGCUUUUCAGAGCGUGAAGUCUGCAGAAGCCUGCAGACUGAGUCAAG